UCCGUCGGCGGAGAGUCGAACCCAGGUCAACUGUUUGGGAAAGAGCUAUUCUGACCGUGGAACUACCGACCU
This 72-nucleotide transfer RNA is filed under the name Araneus ventricosus. Its description in RNAcentral is "tRNA-Gly". Lineage: Eukaryota; Metazoa; Arthropoda; Arachnida; Araneae; Araneidae. The record is from RNAcentral.